RNAcentral lists this ribosomal RNA (467 nucleotides) under uncultured bacterium. RNAcentral describes it as "partial 16S ribosomal RNA". It matches the Rfam family "Bacterial small subunit ribosomal RNA", at positions 28 to 506 of the family's 1533-position model. The record is from RNAcentral.
GACGAACGCUGGCGGCGUGCUUAACACAUGCAAGUCGAACGGAAAGGCCCUGCUUUUGUGGGGUGCUCGAGUGGCGAACGGGUGAGUAACACGUGAGUAACCUGCCCUUGACUUUGGGAUAACUUCAGGAAACUGGGGCUAAUACCGGAUAGGAGCUCCUGCUGCAUGGUGGGGGUUGGAAAGUUUCGGCGGUUGGGGAUGGACUCGCGGCUUAUCAGCUUGUUGGUGGGGUAGUGGCUUACCAAGGCUUUGACGGGUAGCCGGCCUGAGAGGGUGACCGGCCACAUUGGGACUGAGAUAGCGCCCGGACUCCUACGGGAGGCAGGAGUGGGGAAUAUGGCACAAGGGGCGGAAGCCGUAGGCAGAAACCCCGGGGGGGGGAAGCCGGCCUUCGGGUUGGAAACCGCUUUCGCCUGUGACGAAGCGUGGGUGACGGUAAUGGGAAAAGAAGCCCCGGCUAACUACGU